RNAcentral lists this ribosomal RNA (430 nucleotides) under Pseudomonadota bacterium. Its description in RNAcentral is "Proteobacteria bacterium partial 16S ribosomal RNA". It matches the Rfam family "Bacterial small subunit ribosomal RNA", at positions 355 to 776 of the family's 1533-position model. The record is from RNAcentral. Lineage: Bacteria; Pseudomonadati; Pseudomonadota.
UGGGGAAUAUUGGACAAUGGGGGGAACCCUGAUCCAGCCAUGCCGCGUGUGUGAAGAAGGCCUUAUGGUUGUAAAGCACUUUAAGCGAGGAGGAGGGUACUGGUAUUAAUACUACCAGCUACUGGACGUUACUCGCAGAAUAAGCACCGGCUAACUCUGUGCCAGCAGCCGCGGUAAUACAGAGGGUGCAAGCGUUAAUCGGAAUUACUGGGCGUAAAGCGCGCGUAGGUGGUUCGUUAAGUUGAAUGUGAAAGCCCCGGGCUCAACCUGGGAACUGCAUCUAAAACUGGCGAGCUAGAGUAGGGCAGAGGGUGGUGGAAUUUCCUGUGUAGCGGUGAAAUGCGUAGAUAUAGGAAGGAACACCAGUGGCGAAGGCGACCACCUGGGCUCAUACUGACACUGAGGUGCGAAAGCGUGGGGAGCAAACAGG